Molecule: ribosomal RNA, 1498 nt
Filed under: uncultured prokaryote
Description: partial 16S ribosomal RNA
Rfam family: Bacterial small subunit ribosomal RNA
Source: RNAcentral
AGAGUUUGAUCAUGGCUCAGAUUGAACGCUGGCGGCAGGCCUAACACAUGCAAGUCGAGCGAGAAAGCUCCUUCGGGGGCGAGUAGAGCGGCGGACGGGUGAGUAACACGUAGGAAUUUGCCCAGUAGUGGGGGACAACAUGUGGAAACGCAUGCUAAUACCGCAUACGCCCUAAGGGGGAAAGCAGGGGAUCUUCGGACCUUGUGCUAUUGGAUAAGCCUGCGUCGGAUUAGCUAGUUGGUGGGGUAAAGGCCUACCAAGGCGACGAUCCGUAGCUGGUCUGAGAGGAUGAUCAGCCACACUGGGACUGAGACACGGCCCAGACUCCUACGGGAGGCAGCAGUGGGGAAUAUUGGACAAUGGGGGCAACCCUGAUCCAGCCAUGCCGCGUGUGUGAAGAAGGCCUUAGGGUUGUAAAGCACUUUCAGUAGGGAGGAAAAGUUGGUGGUUAAUAACUGCCAGCCCUGACGUUACCUACAGAAGAAGCACCGGCAAACUCCGUGCCAGCAGCCGCGGUAAUACGGAGGGUGCGAGCGUUAAUCGGAAUUACUGGGCGUAAAGCGCGCGUAGGCGGCCUGAUAAGUUGGAUGUGAAAGCCCUGGGCUCAACCUAGGAACUGCAUUCAAAACUGUCGGGCUAGAGUAUGGUAGAGGAUAGUGGAAUUUCCGGUGUAGCGGUGAAAUGCGUAGAGAUCGGAAGGAACAUCAGUGGCGAAGGCGACACUCUGUACCAAUACUGACGCUGAGGUGCGAAAGCGUGGGUAGCAAACAGGAUUAGAUACCCUGGUAGUCCACGCCGUAAACGAUGUCUACUAGCCGUUGGGUUCCUUGAGGACUUAGUGGCGCAGCUAACGCAUUAAGUAGACCGCCUGGGGAGUACGGCCGCAAGGUUAAAACUCAAAUGAAUUGACGGGGGCCCGCACAAGCGGUGGAGCAUGUGGUUUAAUUCGAUGCAAUGCGAAGAACCUUACCAGGUCUUGACAUCCUACUAAGUUUCCAGAGAUGGAUUCGUGCCUUCGGAAAAGUAGUGACAGGUGCUGCAUGGCUGUCGUCAGGCUCGUGUCGUGAGAUGUUGGGUUAAGUCCCGUAACGAGCGCAACCCUUGUCCUUUGUUGCCAGCACGUAAUGGUGGGAACUCAAAGGAGACUGCCGGUGACAAACCGGAGGAAGGUGGGGACGACGUCAAGUCAUCAUGGCCCUUACGACCUGGGCUACACACGUGCUACAAUGGCCGGUACAGAGGGCUGCUAACCCGCGAGGGGGCGCGAAUCCCAGAAAACCGGUCGUAGUCCGGAUCGCAGUCUGCAACUCGACUGCGUGAAGUCGGAAUCGCUAGUAAUCGCGAAUCAGAAUGUCGCGGUGAAUACGUUCCCGGGCCUUGUACACACCGCCCGUCACACCACGGGAGUGGGUUGCAAAAGAAGUGGGUAGUCUAACCUUCGGGAGGACGCUCACCACUUUGUGAUUCAUGACUGGGGUGAAGUCGUAACAAGGUAGCC